AACUUUCAACAACGGAUCUCUUGGCUCUCGCAUCGAUGAAGAACGCAGCGAAAUGCGAUAAGUAAUGUGAAUUGCAGAUUUCAGUGAAUCAUCGAAUUUUUGAACGCACCUUGCGCCCCUUGGUAUUCCGAGGGGCAUGCCUGUUUGAGUG
This 151-nucleotide ribosomal RNA is filed under the name Fomitiporia spinescens. Its description in RNAcentral is "5.8S ribosomal RNA". It matches the Rfam family "5.8S ribosomal RNA". Rfam says of the family: 5.8S ribosomal RNA (5.8S rRNA) is a component of the large subunit of the eukaryotic ribosome. It is transcribed by RNA polymerase I as part of the 45S precursor that also contains 18S and 28S rRNA. Functionally, it is thought that 5.8S rRNA may be involved in ribosome translocation. The record is from RNAcentral. Lineage: Eukaryota; Fungi; Basidiomycota; Agaricomycetes; Hymenochaetales; Hymenochaetaceae.